AAACUUAAGGAAUUGACGGGGCCGCACAAGCGGUGGAGCAUGUGGUUUAAUUCGACGCAACGCGAAGAACCUUACCAGGGCUUGACAUCCCCUGACCGCGUAUGAAAGUACGUUUUCACCCUCGGGUGACAGGGAGACAGGUGGUGCAUGGUUGUCGUCAGCUCGUGUCGUGAGAUGUUGGGUUAAGUCCCGCAACGAGCGCAACCCCUACGUUUAGUUGCUAACGCGUGAAGGCGAGCACUCUAGACGAACUGCCGUUGACAAAACGGAGGAAGGUGGGAUGACGUCAAAUCAUCAUGCCCCUUAUGUUCUGGGCUACACACGUGCUACAAUGGCCGGUACAGACGGACGCAAAGCCGCGAGGUGGAGCAAAUCCUAAAAAGCCGGUCUCAGUUCGGAUUGCAGGCUGCAAUUCGCCUGCAUGAAGUCGGAAUCGCUAGUAAUCGCAGGUCAGCAUACUGCGGUGAAUACGUUCCCGGGCCUU
RNAcentral lists this ribosomal RNA (484 nucleotides) under uncultured Pelotomaculum sp. Its description in RNAcentral is "bacterial SSU rRNA". It matches the Rfam family "Bacterial small subunit ribosomal RNA", at positions 897 to 1382 of the family's 1533-position model. Lineage: Bacteria; Bacillati; Bacillota; Clostridia; Eubacteriales; Desulfotomaculaceae. The record is from RNAcentral.